This 69-nucleotide transfer RNA is filed under the name Oreophryne sp. 1 KMK-1998. Its description in RNAcentral is "tRNA-Val". Lineage: Eukaryota; Metazoa; Chordata; Amphibia; Anura; Microhylidae. The record is from RNAcentral.
CAAAGUGUAACUUAAUAAAAGUGCCUUGCUUACACCAAGGCCAUGUCCGUGAAACCCUGACCACUUUGC